This 373-nucleotide unclassified non-coding RNA is filed under the name uncultured fungus. Its description in RNAcentral is "partial contains small subunit ribosomal RNA, internal transcribed spacer 1, and 5.8S ribosomal RNA". The stretch from base 1 to 73 matches the Rfam family "Eukaryotic small subunit ribosomal RNA", at positions 1759 to 1831 of the family's 1831-position model. The record is from RNAcentral. Lineage: Eukaryota; Fungi.
GCAAACUUGGUCAUUUAGAGGAAGUAAAAGUCGUAACAAGGUUUCCGUAGGUGAACCUGCGGAAGGAUCAUUAUUGAAUAAACUUGGUAUGGGUUGUUGCUGGCUUCUUGAAGCAUGUGCACGCUUAUUCCGACUUUAUUUCACCCACCUGUGCACUUCAUGUAGAUCUGGAAACCAUUCGAAAUAAAACAUUCGGUCAAAGAAUUGCCGUGCCCCCAUGCCAGCUUUUCUGAACACUUCAGAUCUAUGCUUCAAUAUACUCCAUAUAAAGUAUCGGAAUGUAUGAUAGUUUAGGCGUGAACUCGCCUGUACUUUGUUAUAUACAACUUUCAACAACGGAUCUCUUGGCUCUCGCAUCGAUGAAGAACGCAGC